GAGUUUGAUCUUGGCUCAGAACGAACGCUGGCGGCAUGCCUAACACAUGCAAGUCGAACGGGAUCCAGGCUUCGGCCUGGUGAGAGUGGCGGACGGGUGAGUAACGCGUGGGAACCUGCCCAAUGGUCUGGGAUAACCGCGGGAAACGUGCGGCUAAUACCGGAUAAGCCCGAGAGGGGAAGAUUUAUCGCCGAUGGAAGGGGGCCCGCGGUCCCGAUUAGGUAGUUGGUGAGGUAAUGGCUCGCCAAGGCGACGAUCGGUAGC
RNAcentral lists this ribosomal RNA (264 nucleotides) under uncultured Alphaproteobacteria bacterium. RNAcentral describes it as "partial 16S ribosomal RNA". It matches the Rfam family "Bacterial small subunit ribosomal RNA", at positions 9 to 287 of the family's 1533-position model. Lineage: Bacteria; Pseudomonadati; Pseudomonadota; Alphaproteobacteria. The record is from RNAcentral.